UGCCACGGACAACUUCAGACUUACUGAAGUA
This 31-nucleotide non-coding RNA is filed under the name Homo sapiens (human). The record is from RNAcentral. Lineage: Eukaryota; Metazoa; Chordata; Mammalia; Primates; Hominidae.